GCCGGGGUGCCCGAGCGGCCCAAGGGGGUGGGCUCGAGACCUCCAGCGCCCGAAGCGACCGAGAGACCCACUGCCCCAAUCAGGGGCGCGCGGGUUCGAAUCCCGCCCCCGGCG
RNAcentral lists this transfer RNA (114 nucleotides) under Ignicoccus hospitalis KIN4/I. It matches the Rfam family "tRNA". Rfam says of the family: Transfer RNA (tRNA) molecules are approximately 80 nucleotides in length. Their secondary structure includes four short double-helical elements and three loops (D, anti-codon, and T loops). Further hydrogen bonds mediate the characteristic L-shaped molecular structure. tRNAs have two regions of fundamental functional importance: the anti-codon, which is responsible for specific mRNA codon recognition, and the 3' end, to which the tRNAs corresponding amino acid is attached (by aminoacyl-tRNA synthetases). tRNAs cope with the degeneracy of the genetic code in two manners: having more than one tRNA (with a specific anti-codon) for a particular amino acid; and 'wobble' base-pairing, i.e. permitting non-standard base-pairing at the 3rd anti-codon position. Lineage: Archaea; Thermoproteati; Thermoproteota; Thermoprotei; Desulfurococcales; Desulfurococcaceae. The record is from Rfam by way of RNAcentral.